RNAcentral lists this ribosomal RNA (465 nucleotides) under uncultured bacterium. Its description in RNAcentral is "partial 16S ribosomal RNA". It matches the Rfam family "Bacterial small subunit ribosomal RNA", at positions 28 to 507 of the family's 1533-position model. The record is from RNAcentral.
GACGAACGCUGGCGGCGUGCUUAACACAUGCAAGUCGAACGGAAAGGCCCCAGCUUGCUGGGGUACUCGAGUGGCGAACGGGUGAGUAACGCGUGGGUGAUCUGCCCUGCACUCUGGGAUAAGCCUGGGAAACUGGGUCUAAUACCGGAUAGGACCGUGCUUUAGUGUGUGCGGUGGAAAGUUUUUCGGUGCAGGAUGAGCCCGCGGCCUAUCAGCUUGUUGGUGGGGUAAUGGCCUACCAAGGCGGCGACGGGUAGCCGGCCUGAGAGGGUGUACGGCCACAUUGGGACUGAGACACGGCCCAGACUCCUACGGGAGGCAGCAGUGGGGAAUAUUGCACAAUGGGCGCAAGCCUGAUGCAGCGACGCCGCGUGGGGGAUGACGGCCUUCGGGUUGUAAACCCCUUUCGGCAGGGACGAAGCUUUUGUGACGGUACCUGCAUAAGAAGCACCGGCUAACUACGUG